Molecule: ribosomal RNA, 468 nt
Filed under: uncultured bacterium
Lineage: Bacteria
Description: partial 16S ribosomal RNA
Rfam family: Bacterial small subunit ribosomal RNA
Source: RNAcentral
GACGAACGCUGGCGGCGUGCUUAACACAUGCAAGUCGAACGGAAAGGCCCUGCUUGUGUGGGGUGCUCGAGUGGCGAACGGGUGAGUAACACGUGAGUAACCUGCCCUUGACUUUGGGAGAACUUCAGGAAACUGGGGCUAAUACCGGAUAGGAGCUCCUGCUGCAUGGUGGGGGUUGGAAAGUUUCGGCGGGUGGGGAUGGACUCGCGGCUUAUGAGCUUGUUGGUUGGGUAGGGGCUUACCAAGGCUUUGACGGGUAGCCGGCAUGAGAGGGUGAACGGCCACAUUGGGACUGAGAUACGGACCAGACUCCUACGGGAGGCAGCAGUGGGGAACAUUGCCCAAUGGGCGGAAGCCUGAUGCAGAAACGUCGGGUGCGGGAUGACGGCCUUCGGGUUGUAAACCGCUUUAGCCUGUGACGAAGCGGGAGUGACGGUAAUGGGUAAAGAAGCACCGGCUAACUACGUG